UACGUAGGGUGCAAGCGUUGUCCGGAAUUAUUGGGCGUAAAGAGCUCGUAGGCGGUUUGUCGCGUCUGCUGUGAAAACCCGAGGCUCAACCUCGGGCCUGCAGUGGGUACGGGCAGACUAGAGUGCGGUAGGGGAGAUUGGAAUUCCUGGUGUAGCGGUGGAAUGCGCAGAUAUCAGGAGGAACACCAAUGGCGAAGGCAGAUCUCUGGGCCGUAACUGACGCUGAGGAGCGAAAGCGUGGGGAGCGAUCCGG
RNAcentral lists this ribosomal RNA (253 nucleotides) under uncultured bacterium. RNAcentral's name for it is "partial 16S ribosomal RNA". It matches the Rfam family "Bacterial small subunit ribosomal RNA", at positions 524 to 776 of the family's 1533-position model. The record is from RNAcentral.